Molecule: long non-coding RNA, 553 nt
Organism: Drosophila montana
Lineage: Eukaryota; Metazoa; Arthropoda; Insecta; Diptera; Drosophilidae
Exons: 3
Source: RefSeq, a predicted model, not a curated record
UCAUCGUCAUGUGUACUUUUACUUAUUUUUACAAGGUGGCAUCUUUAUGUUCCCAUAGGUUAGCUUUCUUCUUCUGUACAUCACACAACUGAUCAAUUGGGCCAUAUAUGUACAUCAUGCACUGCAAUCGCCCCACAACCAUACUUAAUCCGCACAGCAGCAUGGAUCGCACUGCACCAUUUGGGAUCAACGUGAUGCGAAGAAGGUUCAGAUGUUUGUACUUGAGAUAGCCUCCGGCAUUAUUGAGUGCAUCAAUUCGCUGGUCGUGACCAAGGAUUACAUUUACAUAGGCCUCGUCUGUCAGCCACAUGAUGAGCAACAGCAAUGCGGCCAUGGACGAUGGCAACGUGGACGAGUGCUGUGAUUCGAUUACGCAGCUGACCAGCGCUUCGUUUCAUCUGCACCAUCUGGUCAAGGGUCGGCCCAAGCGCGCUCCAACCCGCUGAUUAAUGCGCCGCUGGAUAUUGGUAAUGGCCUGGAGCACUUUUUCAGACCCGGCUAGGUCACGCCCACAACGCUGACCCCGUUGGUGUCGCCCACAUCCGAGGAUGUG